Molecule: ribosomal RNA, 232 nt
Filed under: uncultured bacterium
Lineage: Bacteria
Description: partial 16S ribosomal RNA
Rfam family: Bacterial small subunit ribosomal RNA
Source: RNAcentral
GAUCAUGGCUCAGGAUGAACGCUGGCGGCGUGCUUUAACACAUGCAAGUCGAACGAAGCACUUCAUAAAGCUUGCUUUAAGAAGUGACUUAGUGGCGGACGGGUGAGUAACGCGUGGGUAACCUGCCUUACACAGGGGGAUAACAGUUAGAAAUGACUGCUAAUACCGCAUAAAACAGCAGAGUCGCAUGACUCAACUGUCAAAGAUUUAUCGGUGUAAGAUGGACCCGCGU